RNAcentral lists this non-coding RNA (54 nucleotides) under Phocaeicola vulgatus. The record is from RNAcentral. Lineage: Bacteria; Pseudomonadati; Bacteroidota; Bacteroidia; Bacteroidales; Bacteroidaceae. RNAcentral also lists the same sequence under 3 other names.
AACAGUGGAGAGAUUUGAGUAGCUUGCAACCACAGAAAAAAAUGCUAAAAAAUA